Hyla sarda is the source of this 141-nucleotide small nuclear RNA. RefSeq annotates it as U4 spliceosomal RNA. NCBI's taxonomy places the organism in Eukaryota, Metazoa, Chordata, Amphibia, Anura, Hylidae. The record is from RefSeq and is a predicted model, not a curated record. The transcript has a single exon.
AGCUUUGCGCAGUGGCAGAAUCAUAGCUCAUGAGGGCAAAACGAGGCGUGAUUGUUACUGGUUGAAAACUUUUAUCAAUACCCCGCUGUGAUGACUUGAAAUAUAGUCAGCACUGGCAGUUUUUGACAGUUUCCCAGGAGA